GUGAGGAAUAUUGCGCAAUGGGGGAAACCCUGACGCAGCAACGCCGCGUGGGUGAAGAAGGCUCUCGGGUUGUAAAGCCCUGUCAGGUGGGAAGAACCCUCUGAAAGUGAAUAGCUUUCAGAACUGACGGUACCACCAAAGGAAGCACCGGCUAACUCCGUGCCAGCAGCCGCGGUAAGACGGAGGGUGCAAGCGUUGUUCGGAAUUACUGGGCGUAAAGCGCGUGUAGGCGGUCUGAUAAGUCGAGUGUGAAAGCCCGGGGCUCAACCUCGGAAGUGCAUUCGAAACUGUCAAGCUUGAGUACGGGAGAGGGAAGUGGAAUUCCUGGUGUAGAGGUGAAAUUCGUAGAUAUCAGGAGGAACACCGGUGGCGAAGGCGGCUUCCUGGACCGAUACUGACGCUGAGACGCGAAAGCGUGGGGAGCAAACAGGAUUAGAUACCCGGGUAGUCC
Molecule: ribosomal RNA, 451 nt
Filed under: uncultured bacterium
Lineage: Bacteria
Description: bacterial SSU rRNA
Rfam family: Bacterial small subunit ribosomal RNA
Source: RNAcentral